RNAcentral lists this long non-coding RNA (1885 nucleotides) under Strigops habroptila (Kakapo). RNAcentral's name for it is "lncRNA (ENSSHBG00005018659.1)". The record is from RNAcentral. Lineage: Eukaryota; Metazoa; Chordata; Aves; Psittaciformes; Psittacidae.
ACCAUAGAAACACCUUUACCACAAGGAAGGUGUACUUUUGCAAGGGACUUGGGGGUAAACAUUCAGAUUCCCAUGGCAACUGUUGGGUCCAAAGGCUGAAUGAAAUACCAUGUGUCAGUGUCUUCUGGAGCAGCAUGCAGGAGAAAGAAUUAAAAAAAAAAAGCAGCCACCCAAUAUUUUCACCAUUGGAACUGGUGAUCACAGCUGAUAAUCGUUCAAGGCACCAUCUGAAGGUGGAAUACCAACAGGCAGUAUUUUGCAUUAAAAACUGUGUGUGAGUGGGCUAAUAAGGCAGUGGAAAAAUAAAGGAGAAAAGCAAUGGAUUAAAAUGGCCAUUCACCAUUAAAAUGGUGAAUAAUCUGAAACCCUCUCAGUUACACCUAUUGGGGUUUUAUGAUUUUUAAAGUUAGAAGAGGGUCUCAAAAUUUCCCAAACAUGCUUAAUACAAAAAGAGCUACAGGGAAACACCCCCCCCCCACAAAACAAACAGUUGUUUUUGCUCAUCAGAUUUUAUACUUCCUAAGACAAGAAAUUACUUUAUUUUCCUGCCACACAUUCAACCACCACCACCAUUCGCUGGGAACAGAUCUUACCUGGAGAAGACACUCCUGGCCUAAGAGCCAUAGUAUGCAAAGGAAAAAUGUGCACAUAAGGAUUCCAGAUGCAUAUGCUGUCAAUACAUACUAACUGUAUGGGCCCACUGUAACUGCUAAUAUGAAAUGUUUGAAUAGAAAUUUCUGUUUUAAAAAUCAAGGGUUUGGGGAACUGUGAGAGUGAAAUGAUUAAGUACAAUAUUUUCCUGCUGGAAUUCUGUAUAUUUAUUUUUGCAGACUUAGUUUAAGAAUUUGGGAAAUAAGAACAUGCUAGGGAAAAGAUCCAGAACUGGAAGGAAAAUGAGAGAAUGCUUCUUCCACUGAACCACCAAAUUUCAGAAAAAUAAGAUAUGGGUAUAAGUACAGGAACACUAGUGUAUUUCUCAGCCGAAUUUUGCAAUCUUGUCCAUUCUGGAGCACAAAUAAAGGUCAAGUUCUUUAAUGAAUGCCUAAGUCAAAAAAUAUGCAUAUUUUCUAAGGCUGACUAGGCUUAUUGUCUGGAAGGUAAUCCCUCAGUUUCUUGUCCUGCAGCCUAAGAUGUGAAUGUCUAGGAGUCUGAGAGAAAACUGCUUGUGGAUGCUGAAUUGGUAUCUGUUAAAACUCUGAUAGUAACUGAAUUAUUACCUUUCUGUAAACUGUCUAGGGACUUUGUUAAUCCCAUGAAUUCUAUUGGACCUGAUAAAACCACUGACCUUUUUUGUUCAGAUGUAGGCAAUUGUAAUAAAUAGAUGCCUAUUUUCUGAGGUCUUUGAAAUGAUCUUUAAUGAGAACUUGGAAAGCAACCAGCAUUAUAUGUGGUCACUGUCAAAGUAAUUUGAGUUCCUUGAGAGCAAAUACUUAGAAAUCCUUAGAAAAAAAGCUAGAGGGCUUUUUAAUUUGGUAUCUGAACUAAAACUAGGAAUAUUUCUCUAGCAUAGCCAAAUCUGGGCAGAGGAUAAAGGAAACCUGGAAAAAUUAUGAAAAAGCUGAAAAGUAUCUUCAGCUGAAAAAUUCUUUCACUGCACAUAGAUGUUAUUAUCAACAAGUUACUUACGCAUUUUCUAUCACAAUCCAGACACAUAUUGCAGACAGAAAAAAACCCAAAGAGGACAAAAAACCAUUGCAUGGAAUCAGUCUACACUAUGGCAAAAUUCAGGAAGGACUGGUGACUUGGAGAAACUACCACAGAAGGACCAGUUUCCUUUUAGGAUGAUGAAGAAUCAUGAAGCUUCAGGACAUAAAACCAGGGAGGCACAGAUUCUGUGAAGAAAACAUUCUUCCGGUCAGCUGGGAAGAGUCAAUACUGUGCAAAA